GUCCAGACUCCUACGGGAGGCAGCAGUGAGGAAUAUUGGUCAAUGGGCGAGAGCCUGAACCAGCCAAGUCGCGUGAGGGAGUACUGCCCUAUGGGUUGUAAACCUCUUUUGUCGGGGAGCAAAAGCCGGACGUGUCCAGCUGUGAGAGUACCCGAAGAAAAAGCAUCGGCUAACUCCGUGCCAGCAGCCGCGGUAAUACGGAGGAUGCGAGCGUUAUCCGGAUUUAUUGGGUUUAAAGGGUGCGCAGGCGGAUUUUUAAGUCAGCGGUCAAAUCGUGGGGCUCAACCCCAUCCAGCCGUUGAAACUGGCUGUCUUGAGAUGUCGAGAGGUAUGCGGAAUGCGCAGUGUAGCGGUGAAAUGCUUAGAUAUUGCGCAGAACUCCGAUUGCGAAGGCAGCAUACCGGCGGCGAUCUGACGCUGAGGCACGAAAGCGUGGGUAUCGAACAGGAUUAGAUACCCCAGUA
Molecule: ribosomal RNA, 464 nt
Filed under: uncultured bacterium
Lineage: Bacteria
Description: bacterial SSU rRNA
Rfam family: Bacterial small subunit ribosomal RNA
Source: RNAcentral